GACGAACCGUGCGAACGUUGUUCGGAUUCACUGGGCUUAAAGGGCGCGUAGGCGGCUCGCCAAGUCAGGGGUGAAAUCGUCCGGCUCAACCGGACAAGUGCUUCUGAUACUGGUGGGCUGGAGGGAGGUAGGGGCAGACGGAACUUCCGGUGGAGCGGUGAAAUGCGUAGAUAUCGGAAGGAACGCCGGUGGCGAAAGCGGUCUGCUGGAUCUCUUCUGACGCUGAUGCGCGAAAGCCAGGGGAGCAAACGGG
This 253-nucleotide ribosomal RNA is filed under the name uncultured bacterium. RNAcentral describes it as "partial 16S ribosomal RNA". It matches the Rfam family "Bacterial small subunit ribosomal RNA", at positions 524 to 776 of the family's 1533-position model. The record is from RNAcentral.